RNAcentral lists this ribosomal RNA (301 nucleotides) under uncultured bacterium. Its description in RNAcentral is "partial 16S ribosomal RNA". It matches the Rfam family "Bacterial small subunit ribosomal RNA", at positions 509 to 809 of the family's 1533-position model. The record is from RNAcentral.
CAGUAGCCACGGUAAUACGGAGGAUCCAAGCGUUAUCCGGAAUCAUUGGGUUUAAAGGGUCCGUAGGCGGUCUUGUAAGUCAGUGGUGAAAGCCCAUCGCUCAACGGUGGAACGGCCAUUGAUACUGCAGGACUUGAAUUAUUGGGAAGUAACUAGAAUAUGUAGUGUAGCGGUGAAAUGCUUAGAGAUUACAUGGAAUACCAAUUGCGAAGGCAGGUUACUACCAAUUGAUUGACGCUGAUGGACGAAAGCGUGGGUAGCGAACAGGAUUAGAUACCCCUGUAGUCCCUGUCUCUUAUAA